RNAcentral lists this ribosomal RNA (946 nucleotides) under Ralstonia sp. Its description in RNAcentral is "bacterial SSU rRNA". Lineage: Bacteria; Pseudomonadati; Pseudomonadota; Betaproteobacteria; Burkholderiales; Burkholderiaceae. The record is from RNAcentral.
UUCUCCUGCCGGCGAGUGGCGAACGGGUGAGUAAUACAUCGGAACGUGCCCUGUAKUGGGGGAUAACUAGUCGAAAGAUUAGCUAAUACCGCAUACGACCUGAGGGUGAAAGUGGGGGACCGCAAGGCCUCAUGCUAUAGGAGCGGCCGAUGUCUGAUUAGCUAGUUGGUGGGGUAAAGGCCCACCAAGGCGACGAUCAGUAGCUGGUCUGAGAGGACGAUCAGCCACACUGGGACUGAGACACGGCCCAGACUCCUACGGGAGGCAGCAGUGGGGAAUUUUGGACAAUGGGCGAAAGCCUGAUCCAGCAAUGCCGCGUGUGUGAAGAAGGCCUUCGGGUUGUAAAGCACUUUUGUCCGGAAAGAAAUGGCUCUGGUUAAUACCUGGGGUCGAUGACGGUACCGGAAGAAUAAGGACCGGCUAACUACGUGCCAGCAGCCGCGGUAAUACGUAGGGUCCAAGCGUUAAUCGGAAUUACUGGGCGUAAAGCGUGCGCAGGCGGUUGUGCAAGACCGAUGUGAAAUCCCCGAGCUUAACUUGGGAAUUGCAUUGGUGACUGCACGGCUAGAGUGUGUCAGAGGGGGGUAGAAUUCCACGUGUAGCAGUGAAAUGCGUAGAGAUGUGGAGGAAUACCGAUGGCGAAGGCAGCCCCCUGGGAUAACACUGACGCUCAUGCACGAAAGCGUGGGGAGCAAACAGGAUUAGAUACCCUGGUAGUCCACGCCCUAAACGAUGUCAACUAGUUGUUGGGGAUUCAUUUCCUUAGUAACGUAGCUAACGCGUGAAGUUGACCGCCUGGGGAGUACGGUCGCAAGAUUAAAACUCAAGGAAUUGACGGGGACCCGCACAAGCGGUGGAUGAUGUGAUUAAUUUCGAUGCAACGCGAAAACCUUACCUACCCUUUGACAUGCCACUAACGAAGCAGAGAUGCAUUUAGGUGCUCGAA